AUUGAACGCUGGCGGCGUGCUUAACACAUGCAAGUCGAUCGGUAACAGGUGUAGCAAUACAUGCUGACGGGAGGCGGACGGGUGAGUAAUGCUUGGGAAUCUGCCUAUUAGUGGGGGACAACCCGGGGAAACUCGGGCUAAUACCGCAUACGCUCUACGGAGGAAAGCCGGGGACCGCAAGGCCUGGCGCUAAUAGAUGAGCCCAAGUCGGAUUAGCUAGUUGGUAGGGUAACGGCCACCAAGGCGACAAUCCGUAGCUGGUCUGAGAGGACGACCAGCCACACCGGAACUGAGACACGGUCCGGACUCCUACGGGAGGCAGCAGUGGGGAAUAUUGGACAAUGGGGGCAACCCUGAUCCAGCGACGCCGCGUGGGUGAAGAAGGCCUGCGGGUUGUAAAGCCCUUUUCGGUGGGGGAAGAAAAGUCUCGACCUAAUACGUCGGGACCUUGACGUAACCCACUAAAGAAGCACCGGCUAACUCUGUGCCAGCAGCCGCCGU
This 501-nucleotide ribosomal RNA is filed under the name uncultured bacterium. RNAcentral's name for it is "bacterial SSU rRNA". It matches the Rfam family "Bacterial small subunit ribosomal RNA", at positions 29 to 521 of the family's 1533-position model. The record is from RNAcentral.